AGGGAUAUUGUAUCGGUAUACAAAUGGGAUUGCAAAUCUUAUUAUAUUAGUUCGACUCUAAUAUAUCCUUA
Molecule: transfer RNA, 71 nt
Filed under: Yarrowia alimentaria
Lineage: Eukaryota; Fungi; Ascomycota; Dipodascomycetes; Dipodascales
Description: transfer RNA-Cys
Rfam family: tRNA
About the family: Transfer RNA (tRNA) molecules are approximately 80 nucleotides in length. Their secondary structure includes four short double-helical elements and three loops (D, anti-codon, and T loops).
Source: RNAcentral